This 586-nucleotide ribosomal RNA is filed under the name Mylocheilus caurinus (peamouth chub). RNAcentral describes it as "partial 16S ribosomal RNA". It matches the Rfam family "Bacterial large subunit ribosomal RNA", at positions 1814 to 2603 of the family's 2925-position model. The record is from RNAcentral. Lineage: Eukaryota; Metazoa; Chordata; Actinopteri; Cypriniformes; Leuciscidae.
CAUCGCCUCCUGCAACUGGAUUGAGUAUAGGAGGUCCAGCCUGCCCAGUGACUACGGGUUCAACGGCCGCGGUAUUUUGACCGUGCAAAGGUAGCGCAAUCACUUGUCUCUUAAAUAGAGACCUGUAUGAAUGGCUAGACGAGGGCUUAACUGUCUCCCCCCUCCAGUCAGUGAAAUUGAUCUAUCCGUGCAGAAGCGGGUAUAACCGUACAAGACGAGAAGACCCUUUGGAGCUUAAGGUACAAAAUUCAACCACGUUAAACAACUCCAUAAGAAGCAAGAACUUAGUGGCAAAUGAAAUUUUACCUUCGGUUGGGGCGACCGCGGAGGAAAAAUAAGCCUCCGAGUGGACUGGGCCAAACCCCUAAAGCCAAAAGAAACAUCUAUAAGCCGCAGAACAUCUGACCAAAAAUGAUCCGACUAAAAAGCCGAUCAACGAACCAAGUUACCCUAGGGAUAACAGCGCAAUCCUCUCCCAGAGUCCAUAUCGACGAGGGGGUUUACGACCUCGAUGUUGGAUCAGGACAUCCUAAUGGUGCAGCCGCUAUUAAGGGUUCGUUUGUUCAACGAUUAAAGUCCUACGUGA